This 8236-nucleotide long non-coding RNA is filed under the name Ananas comosus (pineapple). Its description in RNAcentral is "long non-coding RNA (ACOM_LNC032648)". Lineage: Eukaryota; Viridiplantae; Streptophyta; Magnoliopsida; Poales; Bromeliaceae. The record is from RNAcentral.
AUAUAGUCGACAUGUAUUCGUGGAGUUAUUUUGUGUGUAGUAAUUGCUCGGUUCAUUGAUUUAUUAUGUUUAAUAAUCUGAAUUGGAGCCUUAGUUAUUAUCUUUGGAUAUAUAUACAUGUUGGAAUUGGAUGAGACUUAGGAGAAAACUCGCGAUUAUGAUCGUCAUAUGCUUAAACUACCUGAUUUAGCCCUAGGGGCCGUUGUAUAAAUUUUUACUGUUGCAGUAUCCUCUUAGUGGGUAUUCCAGAUAGUUUAGUUUUCAGUUACGCUCAUGCUGGGAUGCCGAGUGUAUUUUUACAGUAGCGUUCAGACUGUUCCGGAUUGUUGGGUGCCGUCGGGGUUGACGGUGAACCCAUAUCGCCUGUUUGGCGUCGGAUUGUGCUGAGAGCACAUUAUCUGUUGGUUGUUAGAUCAGUUUGAGUCAGUUACUGGACUUUGGCUUUCGAGAGCCUGAUUGAGCUUGACAGAGAUAUACUGCAUACUCGGUUGGGUAGCUCCCACGAGUGCCACUCCGGAGACGGGCGCUGUGCUUUCUCGUUGGUGUCGCUCAUGCCGGUUGGACUUGCUCUCCACGGACUAGUAGUGUGGAGGUAGCUGGAUAGUCACAACUGGACAGGGACGGAUGUGUUCACAGUCCCAGGGACGGGUAUGCUUACAGUCCCGAUUGGAUUGGGUCAGAUUUGGUUAGUGUAGAGCAUGGUAGUGUAGUGAUUCAUAGCGGUAGAUUUCAUUCCUUCAUUUACUACUAUCUUUACUCCCUUCUGUAGACUUGGUGGGUGGACCGAUGUUGUUGAGGGCGGCACCCACUGAGGACUACCUGUUUUUACAGUAGUUCUCACGCCCUGUUUUACCCUCCUGUUUUUGCAGAGCCAUUAUCUUCGGCUGCUACUGUUGCCGACCAGGAUCGAGGCAAGGGCGUCGCGAGUUAGAGCCCUACCAGACGUGCCAAGCUAGAGGUACCCCUACUGCAGGUAGAUGUUUAUUUUGAGUUCAUGUACAUAGUAUACUUAACUCGUCAGUGCGAGUAGCUCUGUGUUUUUGGUAUUGGACUAUGUAUAUGGAACUCUGUUUGUUUAGCUUCUGUUUACUCUAGUAGCUCUAUACUACUGCUUGUAGUAUUGUAUGAUUUACAGGUACAGCUAUCACUUCGUAUACAGGGGAAAUUUCUUUGUAUACGGCAGAUUUGUCGGCGUGCCCAGGGAAUGUGUAAUCCGGGGCGUGACAGAUUAAGUUGGUAUCAGAGCUUAGCUUUAGGUCGUUGGGACCUAGAAAACCUAAAUUUGGCAAACCUUAGAAAGGCAAGACGGGAGAGGCGUAAUUUGUUGCGAAAGUCAAUGAUUAAUUGUUCUAACUCCUCCUAGAGUGGAGUGAGUGACUGAAGGAGUUCCUGUUUUGGCCUGAGAAAUUAUGUUGGUUGCAGAUAACAUAAUUUUGGAGGAAAACACAGCCCGCCUUCCAGAUUUUCGUUGAUUGGGUCGAGAGUGUUUGUGUUUCAUCUCACCUCGAUUUGUUUCUUUCAGCUAUGUGUCGUCGUUGAGGUCGACCGUCGUUACGGGAGCGUGCCCAGUUGUCGCAGGAUCGUGCGGGACCUUCCAAGAUGCCUGAGCAUGUGGAGCCGAGUGCCCGACAGGAGCAGAGUGCCCGACCAGAGGCGAGUGCACCCCGGAAUUUAAGUGCACAGAUAGCCGCCCUGACAGAGGUGACGAGGCGGCAGGGGGAGUUGUUGGAGAGGAUGUGCGAGAGGUUAGCUUCGCCCCAGAGUUCAGCACCGAGGGCACCAGAGUCGUCUGUUCCACCUUCGACUACCCCAGUGACAGCACCAGCAGCAGCAGUUCCUCCGCCAGCAGCCGUUCCAGUAGCGCCAGUUGCACCUGCUGGGGGGCCGGUACAGUUGACAGAGGCCGAGCAGGAGCGGUGGACAGAGAGGUUGGCCCGUUUUCGCCGUUUUGAUCCAUCGAUUUUCGAUGGCAGUUGCACUGAGCCCUGGGUUGUUGAGGGAUGGGUCAGUGAGAUGGAGAAGUUAUUUGAGGAUCUGUUCAUUCCUGAGGGGGAGCAGGGGUCUUUGGGAGUCCAUUGCUUGGCAGGUGAUGCCCAGGCCUGGUGGAAGAGAGUGAGGAGAGAGUAGGGACUGGUGGCGUUGCAGCUGAGAUGGCAUGAGUUCUGUGGAAUGCUGUUUGGGAUGUUCUUUCCCAACAGUGUGAAACAAAAACUCGAGGAGGAUUUGAAGAGGAUCCAGCAGGGGGAUCGUCCAGUAUAGGAGUAUAUUCGGGAGUUUACUCGACUCCUGAAUUGUGUGCCAUUUGUGACCAGAGACGAGGCACACAGGGUCUAUCUAUUUUAGCAGAGACUGAGACCCGACAUCUUCAGGUUGGCGCGGACGCAGAGGUCGAGGACCCUGAAUGCGUCCAUUGAGCAGGCCUUGUGGGUAGAGAGAGGUGAGGUGUCACUACAGGAGAGGACUCAGGCCGCGGGGCAGAGUCAGGAUAGGAAGCGCCCCUUUUCAGAUGAUGCUGGACCGUCGAGUAGCAGGCGUCCGCCGAGGUCUCCACGAUCACGCUCUCAGGGUCGUGGGUCUUCGGGGCGUCAGCGUUCCAGGGGAUCCCGUCAGCAGGGACGGACUCAGAGGACACCGCAGUGUGUGAUCUGCGGGGGACCACACUGGCCCCGACAGUGCGAGCAGAGAGAGGGCAGGUGUUAUGGUUGUGAUCAGCCUGGACAUAUGAGGUCAGCUUGUCCCCGUGCAGCAUCACCAGCGCCAUCCACUGCAUCAGCGCAGUCGGCAUCUCAGCCUUCUUUUGGAGCAACUCUGAGUUUCCGUCACGAGGAUAGAUCGUCUGUGCCCCAUCAGGGCGAGCGGCGACAGCAAGCUCCGAGUGGCAGAGUCUACGCAGCUCAGGUGGAGGACUCUACAACAGCCGACCGAGUGGUGGCAGGUAUCAUUUUGAUUUCCGGCAUUCGUACUCAUACUCUUUUUGAUACCGGUGCCUCGCAUUCUUUUGUUAGCCGAGCAUUUGCAUUGUUACAUGGUCUAGAGUUAGGGGCAUUGUCACAGGCACGAGAGGUGCAGAUUCCCAACCAUGUGUUACAGGUUACAGAGUGUUGUUGGUCGUGUCCGGUGCAGUUCGAUUCUUGGAUCAUGCCCGCAGACCUGUUGGUGUUAGGGCAGUUGCAGGACUUCGACGUCGUACUCGGUAUGGAUUGGCUGGUGCGGUACUAUGCUACGAUCGAUUGUGGAACGAGAACGGUGACGUUCCGCGAGCCAGGCUAGGAGGAGUUCACUUUUAGAGGUUGCACGAGCACGCUGUUUGCCACCUGGAUAUCUUCGGCGAGGGUUCGACAGAUGCUGAGUAGUGGAUGUAUCGCUUUCUAGCGACAGUUGUGGAGGUACCUACGGUGGCGCCGAAACUCGAGGAUAUCCCAGUAGUCCGCGAGUUUCCGGAUGUGUUUCCCCCUGAGUUGACUUUGUUGCCGUCGGAGAGGGAGAUUGAGUUUGUGAUUGAUGUAGUUCCUGUAACUGCACCAAUCUCGAAGGUACCUUAUCAGAUGGCACCGGCAGAGCUGAGAGAGCUAAAGGCGCAGCUUCAGGAUUUGAUGGAUAGACGGUUUGUGAGACCCAGUGUGUCGCCUUGGGGAGCGCCGAUAUUAUUUGUAAAGAAGAAGGAUGGUUCGCUCAGAUUGUGCGUAGAUUAUCGGGAGCUGAAUAAAGUGACCAUCAAGAACAAGUAUCCUUUGCCGCGCAUUGAUGACCUGUUUGAUCAGCUGUAAGGAUCUUGUGUCUUCUCGAAGAUUGAUCUCCACUCAGGUUUCCACCAGUUGAGGGUGAGGGCCGAGGAUGUUUUCAAGACGGCUUUUCGGACUCGGUACGGACAUUAUGAGUUUACAGUGAUGCCUUUUGGAUUGACGAAUGCCCCUGCCGCAUUUAUAGAUUUGAUGAACAGAGUGUUCAAGCCGUUCCUGGAUAGAUUUGUGGUAGUCUUCAUAGAUGAUAUCUUGAUAUACUCCCGGAGCGAUGUCGAGCACGAGGAGCACUUGAGGACUGUGCUACAGCUUCUCCGAGAGAAGAAGUGGUAUGCCAAGUUAAAGAAGUGCGAGUUUUGGUUACGGGAGGUCGCUUUCUUGGGUCACGUGAUAUCAGCUGAGGGAGUAGCAGUCGACCCGAAGAAGAUUGAUGUGAUUCGGGAUUGGCCCAGACCGACGACGGUGACUGAGGUGAGGAGCUUUCUUGGACUAGCAGGAUAUUACCGUCGAUUUGUGGAAGGCUUUGCGAAACUUUACACACCCCUCACUCGAUUGACGCGCAAGGGGAUUAGAUUCAUCUGGAGUGAGGAUUGUCAGAGGAGCUUUGGUGAGUUGAGACUGAGGUUGACAUCAGCUUCUAUCCUUGCCCUUCCUGUGAUGGGGGAAGGAUUUGUGAUCUAUAGUGAUGCAUCGCACAGUGGACUGGGUUGUGUGCUGAUGCAGCAUGGUAGGGUAAUUACUUAUGCUUCACGGCAGUUAAAGGAUUACGAGAAGAAUUACCCUACGCAUGACUUGGAGCUUGCCGCGGUAGUCUUUGCGUUAAAGUUGUGGCGGCAUUACUUGUAUGGCGAGCACUGCGAGAUUUUCACCGAUCAUAAAAGUCUCAAGUAUCUGUUCACUCAAAGGAAACUGAAUCUGAGGCAGCGCCGGUGGUUAGAGUUAUUGAAGGACUAUGACAUUAGUAUUCAGUAUCAUCCCGGCAGGGCGAAUGUAGUGGCAGAUGCGUUGAGCAGGAAGUCAGUGCAGAGCCUGAGUUUGAUGAUCACCGAGUAGAGGCCAUUACUCGAGGAGUUUCAGCGGCUGAGGCUUGAGAUAGUGUCCCCUGGAUCUACUGCGAGACUGAUGUCUCUGGUUUUGCAGCCCACUCUGUUGGAUAGGAUCCGGAAAAAACAGAGUGGAGAUCCGUGCCUGUUGAGGAUUCGAGAGCAGUUAGAAGGGGGCAGGCUAAGGGUUUUGCUGUGGACAGUUCGGGAGUACUACAGUACAGGGACCAGCUGUGUGUGCCUGUGGAUUCAGAGAUCCGAGAGGCUAUUUUGAGAGAGGCUCAUUGUUCACCUUAUACGGUUCACCCUAGGGGAACUAAGAUGUAUAAGGAUUUAAAGGCACAGUUUUGGUGGAAUGGAAUGAAGAGAGACAUUGGCAGAUUUGUGGCUCAGUGUUUGACUUGCCAACAGGUAAAGGCCGAGCAUCAGGUGCCUGCUGGCAAGCUUCAGAGUCUGCCAGUGCCCGAGUGGAAAUGGGAACAGAUCACUAUGGACUUCGUCGUGGGAUUGCCUAGAGCGCAGGGUGGCUACGAUGCGAUUUGGGUGAUAGUGGACAGACUAACCAAGUCUGCUCACUUCUUACCGGUUCAGAUCACCUGGUCCAGAGAGAGACUCGCGCAGCUAUAUCUGGAUGAGAUUGGUAGGCUGCAUGGCGUGGCGAUUUCGAUCGUAUCUGAUAGGGAUCCGAGGUUUGUAUCACAUUUUUGGAGGAGUUUGCAGACAGCCUUGGCUACACAGCUGCAGUUCAGCACGACGUUUUACCCACAGACAGAUGGUCAGUCAGAGCGGACCAUUCAGACUCUAGAGAACAUGCUGAGAGCGUGUGUCUUGGACUUUGGAGGGGGGUGGUAUCGACAUUUGAGACUAGCUGAGUUUGCGUACAACAACAGCUAUUAAGCGAGUAUUCAGAUGGCUCCGUUUGAGGCGUUGUAUGGACGCAGAUGUCGAUCCCCUUUGUGUUGGAGUGAUGUACGUGAAAGAAAGACGCUUGGGCCUGAGAUUUUGCUGGAGGCUGAGGAAAAGGUGAGAGUUGUUCGACGACACCUUUUGACAACCCAGAGCCGCCAGAGGAGCUAUGCCGAUAUCAGGAAAAGAGACUUAGAGUUUCAGGUUGGAGAUCAUGUAUUUCUUAAAGUCUCGCCGUUCAGAGGGAUUCGCCGAUUGGGAGUACGUGGAAAGCUCAGUCCACGCUUUGUUGGCCCUUUUGAGGUAUUGGAGCGAGUGGGACCAGUUGCAUACAGGAUCGCUCUACCCCCGCGACUAGCUGGUAUUCACGAUGUCUUCCACGUCUCGGUUUUGAGGAGGUAUGUUUUCGAUCAUUCUCACGUGAUUGACUUCACUCCACUCGAGAUUAGCGAGGAUCUGAGAUACGAGGAGCGACAGUUGCGGAUUCUUGGCCGAGAGACGAAAGAAUUGCGCAACCGGGUCAUCCCGUAUGUGAAAGUGCAGUGGAGCCAUCACGAGGAGCGGGAGGCGACUUGGAAACCUGAGACGGUGAUGAGGGAGUCCUAUCCCUACCUAUUCGAUGCCCUGAGCUGAGGUAUGUUCAAGUUUCGAGAACGAAACUUUUUGUAAUGGGGCAGGAUGUGAGACCCCUGGUGUUCAGCAGUGAAGGCAUGUCGACAGCUCUGGAGAGUGUCGAGACAAGUUUGAGUCGCGUUCGCGCGAAAUAGAUGCAAAACGGACUCUGUGCGACGCGAGAGCAGCAUUUAGCAAGAAAAUCUGCAAAAAAGUUGAUUUUCUGCUUGCUGUACCGGUAUUGUGACACCCCAAUAGUCCCACAUCGGAUGGGAAUGAUGUUGUCAUUGGGUUUAUAAGAGACUUAGACACUAGUAAUAAUAACUGGGCUUAAGCAUUUUGGGCCGGUGGUUGGGCCCAACGAGUUAUUAUUACUAGUGGGCUGGGUCGUUACAUUUGGUAUCAGAGCCGGUUCACCAGCUGGACAUGUGUGGCGAGUCUCGGCUGAGCCAGGGUCUGGAUGACGGGCUAGCGAGACGAGUCUCACAUAGCCUGGUGAUCUUGGGCUGUGUGUGAUUGGACUGACGAGGACGUCAGGACCUUAACGGGGGGAGUCUGUGACACCCCAAUAGUCCCACAUCGGAUGGGAAUGAUGUUGUCAUUGGGUUUAUAAGAGACUUAGACACUAGUAAUAAUAACUGGGCUUAAGCAUUUUGGGCCGGUGGUUGGGCCCAACGAGUUAUUAUUACUAGUGGGCUGGGUCGUUACAGGUAUAGCCAUCAUGGUGCACCGGUGCACCGGUACACCGCACAGGUUGCGCGCAAACUGCUCUCAGGUUGGCUUCUUAUAUCGGUACGCGAGCCCAUGUACCGGUACGCCAGGGUAGGUAGGAGGACUUUUUGGUCUUUUUCCACCUCGUUCGUGUCACCCUUUUCCUCUAUCACUAUUUAGAUUUACGUAGAGCUGAGAGAGAGAGUUUGUACUGUCCUUCUACUCCUCUCUCUCUAGCUUCGAUCGUGGGUCAAGGAGGGAGCUCGGGUGGAGGUUUCGCCGUCGACGUCGCGCCGCGAAGCCAUUUGAGCGUACGUUCGCCGCCGUUGUGUCGCAAGGAGGCCGGGCGAGCGUGGAUCUUCGCCGUUAUUGACGUCGCACUGGUGCUAGUUGUGGUCAAGGUGGGUAUUCCGUUGAAUUGCUUCUUCUUUUCCAAGCAUCAUCAAAUUCGAGCUAAGUGUUGAUUUGCAGAUUUUCCAGCGUCGACCGUUAGCGUUUCGGCCCGUUCUCGACGUAGGAGAGUCGAAUUUCGACGAGAUUUGGUUCGUUGGAUUCAGGACUUAGAGAGGAAUCCACGAAGCCCUUAUUUGCUGGAUUUGGUGAAGGUUAGCUUGGUCGAAAUUAUAAUCUCCUCUGCUGCUGCGUUUCGGACAGAAUUAAUGGAUUUCAGUGCUUUACCUUGAUGUAGCUUUGUUGCUGGAUUUGUGGGCGUUUCGGUUGAUCCAGCAGGUUAUCCCGCAGCUGAGGGACUUCAUCGCUGUUAGGGAUUAGCUCUCAAGGUGGGUUAAUCAUCGGUUUACUCCUAAGUGCCUAUAUAGUCGACAUGUAUUCGUGGCGUUAUUUUGUGUGUAGUAAUUGCUCGGUUCAUUGAUUUACUAUGUUUAAUAAUCUGAAUUGGAGCCUUGGUUAUUGUCUUUGGAUAUAUAUACAUGUUGGACUUGGAUGAGACUUAGGAGAAAACUAGCGAUUAUGAUCGUCAUAUGCUUAAACUACCUGAUUUAGCCCUAGGGGCCGUUGUAUAAAUUUUUACUGUUGCAGUAUCCUCUUAGUGGGUAUUCCAGGUAGUUUAGUUUUUAGUUACGUUCGUGCUGAGAUGCCGAGUGUAUUUUUACAGUAGCGUUCAGACUGUUCCGAACUGUUGGGUGCCGUCGGGGUUGACGGUGAACCCAUAUCGCCUGUUUGGCGUCGAAUUGUGCCGAGAGCACGUUACUUGUUGGUUGUUAG